Molecule: transfer RNA, 86 nt
Filed under: Desulfobulbus sp.
Lineage: Bacteria; Pseudomonadati; Thermodesulfobacteriota; Desulfobulbia; Desulfobulbales; Desulfobulbaceae
Also listed under: 1 other name
Description: tRNA-Leu
Rfam family: tRNA
About the family: Transfer RNA (tRNA) molecules are approximately 80 nucleotides in length. Their secondary structure includes four short double-helical elements and three loops (D, anti-codon, and T loops).
Source: RNAcentral
GCCCGGAUGGCGGAACUGGUAGACGCAAGGGACUUAAAAUCCCUCGGCCUUUGGCUGUACGAGUUCGAUUCUCGUUCCGGGUACCA